This is a long non-coding RNA of Diabrotica virgifera virgifera (western corn rootworm), 1301 nucleotides long. RefSeq lists it as uncharacterized. NCBI's taxonomy places the organism in Eukaryota, Metazoa, Arthropoda, Insecta, Coleoptera, Chrysomelidae. The record is from RefSeq and is a predicted model, not a curated record. The transcript has 2 exons.
AAAAUCUUCAAAUUUCAUUUUUUUUAAUUCCUUCGUUCAUUUACUAGCCAGAGGUAUAAACUACAAGAAACUUUUUGAUUUCAAAUGAGACUGGACUUAGUUAUGCUGCCCACCGCAAAAAAACUUAAACUCUACAAAAAUGAAUAUUUUUGGCUGAAACUUUUUUUGAGACUACCUUAAGUACUAUACUUUUACAUGUUCCAAUUAUAAAUAAAAAUAAAUUUUAGUUUUCGAGAUAUAAUUUUUUUAAAAAGUCACUUUUUUUACCCAUAAGACCUAUGUAACCCCUUAAAAAAAUGUUUGAUGGCCAAGAUGCAUACAUAUAUUUAGAAGGAAAGUUCCUAAUUUCUGUAGUAUAAUACAUAAUACCGAAGAGGAAGUAGCUCUAAGCGCCGGACUCCACUUGCGAUUUGUAGUCGUGAAGAUUGAACACAUUCUUUCAAAUAGAAGUCAAUCCAUGAUUAUUUAGUUACAAAUGGCCCAGAUAGCAUGUAAACUUGUAGCAAGUUUGAUUCUUCUUUGAUUUUUCAUUGCUGCGUAAAAUAUGACGAGGCAAGUUUGUGAUAAGUUUGCUGCAAUAUUGUUAUGACAAAGAUGAUUAUUCAAGUUUGUAGCAACUUUGCUUCAAGCUUAGCUUUGCACAGCCCGCUUCGAUUCGGUUUUCGUUCGGCGCCCCGACUGAUGUCCCGCCCACGACAACGAAAGUGUUGCCACCCGUAGGGAAAUUUCUGUGUUUGCGAGAAUUUUCAACAUACAAUUGAAAAAGUUAUCUCAAAAGGGAAUUUUUCCUCCAGUCCAAAUUGCACAAUAUUUAAAAAAAUCAAAAGAUUUGAAAAUAAUUCAAGAUAUUUUCGCAGAUUUUGUAAAUAGGAACGAAUUUUUUCAUAAAAGUGAGAAUUUUUAAGGUAAGUUGAGGGAAAAAGCUUACUCGAUGGCUGGCAACACGGGAAAAAAAUCUGCUACGCGUAUGCGGUGACAGUUUGUUGUUGUGGUUAUCCAGUUUUUUACAACUUAAAUUUUCCGUACAAUUCUCCGAGGCUAUUACCUUAAUUAUUAUUACUAAGCUGAAGCCUAUUUUCUUCAUUGUUAAUAGACCAAACUGCAUGCUUACUGCAUUACAGAUUAGUACCUACUCAUUUUGCUCUGGCCAACUCUGGUGGCAUUGAGGUAGAGAGCUGAUAUAGACAAAACCAAGCAUCGGAAUCUGAAGCUAGGGUGUUUAAUGUAAGUUCCAAUGAAUAAUUUUAUACAAUAGAUUGUAUUUUAGUCGAGUGAUUAAUAAAUAGUUAUAUAAAAUGGUA